GUUCAAAUUGUGAGAUUUUAUCAACUUUUUUCCAGAAGACAAACUUUCAAAUGAUGUCAUGAAUCCUGACUCAAAUUACAUAUUCUCAAACAUUCUAGUAGAAGGGAUUAGAGAUUACAAUUACAAUACAAGUGAUGAUUUGCAUAAAAGGCAAUACCAUCCAUCAAGAGUUUCUCAGUAUCUUAGAGCAACCUUAUUCAAAAUUGAGAAUUGACAAACAAUGGAACCUCCAUUGACAAAUACACAAGGAAGCAAGCUGUCUAAGAGAGGCAUGAAUAAGCCAAAGCCUUCUCCUCAGAAAGCUCUUCUGCUGUCAAGUCCAAUUUUUUCCUUGAAAACUCAUCAAUUGAAAGUCCUGGAUAAAAAUUAGACAAAUUAAAUUAUAUCAGAUACAUACACAAAUCAAACCUUUAAUUGCUAUAUAAAACAACUAUUCCUUAAUUUUACAAAUAAAAGACAGCAAAUGUUAAGCAUGAAGUAUUAACACUUAAAACAAUGAUAUUAUGGUUAAAUAAAAUAAGAAUUCAAGAGCCAGUAAUAAUUUAUCAAAAUCUACCUUGAACUAUUUGCCAUUCGCCAUUGCGGGUUGUGACAGGGAAUGAAUAGAUUAGUCCAGCGGGUACAUUGUAAGAUCCAUCAGAAUAAACUCCCAUCGAAACCCAGGUUCCCUGAUGACAUUGCAAUGAAAAGAUAAACAUAAACAUUGGUUGAAGCCAUUCAAUAUAAAUAAUUUGAAUUAAAGAUUGACCAAGACAUAACCAACCUCAGGAGUUCCUAGAACCCAAUCUCUAAUGUGGUCACAAGCAGCGCUAGCGGCGGAUAGUGCACUUGAAAGCUUUCUAGCUUUAAUGAUUGCAGCGCCCCGUUGUUGGACGGUAGCUAUGAAUUCUCCAUUCAACCUUGACGAUGAAAAUUACAUCAAUACUUCAGUAAAUGCAAAAUGGAAAAAAAAGAAAGUAAUAGAUAUGUAAAAAAAGUUUAAAUUGUGAGUCAUGGUAUUUGUCCAUCAACAUACCAGGCAUCAUCAGCUACGAGUUCACGGACAGGCUUUUCUGCAGAAGAGAUUUUAACAGUUGCGUGGUUGACAUCAGGGUACUGACUUGACGAAUGGUUGCCCCAAAUUAUAACAUUUUUCACAUUAGAAACCUCAACGUUCAGUCUUUCAGAAAUUUGACCCAGUGCCCUGUUAUGGUCCAAUCUUGUCAAACAAGAAAUGUUUUUCUCAGGAAUGGAUGGAGCAAAUUCCUUCAAGAUCAAUGCAUUGGUGUUUGCUGGGUUGGCAACAACAAGAACCUGCAUGAUGAUACCGAGUUUAAAGAAAUGUAAAUAUUUCUGGAAUAUGUAAAAAGGACAACUCAUUUUCUGAAGAAAAGAAUCACAAGGGAUUUGCCAUACAUGACCAAAAUACACAUAUGAACUAGGUGGAACCUUUCAAACAAAAAGCCAACUUAUUUAGUGAAAUUUCAACCUCUAUCUAGUACAAGAUCAAAUCAACAGAAUCCCUAUGGAUUGUCCAAAUGCAUUCAAACCCAAAUCUCUUUUUCAUUAGCAUUAAACUAAAAUAAAUUCAGUACAGGCAAUGUAUUGGCUUUACAUCUAUCACCAGCACACGAAAACCAUGACAAUAAUAGCGUUCAAUCAAUCGAUCACCCAACAACUUAAUUAAACGUUUAUAAGCUAUUUCUAUAAGAAUCAAUAACAUAAAGUCAAAUUGUUUUCAUAUAAACUAUGAACUGUUUUCAUAAGCUACCCUGUAAAGCUUAUGGAAAUAAGCUGAAAACAUCUCAUGAACAUGUCAUGAGCUGUUUCCAUAAGUUUUCCCAAGCAGUCUCACAAGUGUUUAUGGUAGUAGAUAAGUUCAAAUAAGUCAAUCCAAACAGGUCUGAAAGAGAUGCAUGAAAAAGGGGGAGGAGGAACAUAGAACGGAACAUAUUUUUUUUACAUAAAAUGCGACAGAACUAGAAAUUGAAAUUAAUUAAGAGAAAAGCUUGAGGAUUCAGAAUUAAAGGAUCACCUUGCAGUUUGCAGCAGCAUGUUUCUCAAGAGCAGAAGCUUGGGACUUGUAAAUAGAGACAUUUUUUGUCAUCACAUCUUUCCUCUCCAUACCUUCUUUUCUAGGGAAACCACCAACCAUAACAGCAAUAUUGACUCCAGUGCAUCCCUCAACCACAUCAGUUGUAGCAACAACACCUGAAACAAAUAAUUUUCAUAGUACCUUUUAAUCUUGUGAAGCAUUAAAUCAACCAACACAAACCAACUUCAAACCAGAAAUAUCGCUGUCAAAGAAGUUCAUGUAACAUUUAACAAAGAGUAAAACUCAAACCUUUAAGUAGAGGGAAUGCAGCAUCCACCAACUCCAUUUUAACACCGUUCAAUGAUUCGGCUGCAGGUGGGAUGUCGAGCAUGUGGAGGAUCACAGGCUGGUCAGGGCCGAGCAUCACUCCCCUAGCAAUCAUUGGGACAAGAGCAUAUCCAAUUUGUCCUAAAAUAGUAAAAUUGGCAAAACAUUUUUCAGUACACCAAACAUACCUCUAAGAUUUUAUGUUGAAAUAAAAAAAUUGCUUUUGUGAAAACAAAUAAACAACAUUUUGGCCUUAUUUGGAUAAUCAACUUCAAUAAACAUUUAUAGCAUAAAUGCUUAAAAUAUAAGUGUUUAUGUGUAAUCUAUUUCUAUAUAAAAAAUUAAAACAAAUUGUGUUCAUAUAUACUACAAGCUUUUUUCAUAAGUUAUCCUACAGAGGUUAUGGAAAUAAGCUGAAAACAACUUAUAGAUAUGUCAUAUGUUAUUUCUAUAAACUCUCAGAAAUAGGGAAACACUACAAUUAAGGUAUACUAUCAGAAAAUUGCAUAUUGAUAAGGGAUCUAUUUUUAACAAAUGAAAGUAGAUGCAUAUAAAUUAUUUAAAAAUAUAUGAACUGGUUGCAAAUACUAAUUUUUUAUUUUCUUAAUUGAUCAUAGAGUAAGCACAUAACAAGAUAAAUCAAACAUAGUUCUAUUUCUAAAUAAAACCAAUCAAGAAACAUGAUACUAGGAUUAGAUCAGAUCUGAUAUAAAAAUCAUAAGAUAAUUAAAGAUCCUUAAACAAAACAAAAGAAAAGACAUAAUUUUGAGAGAAACCAAUAAAAAAAAGAUGGUUACCUGCAGCACCAGUGACAAGAACACGAACAGGGUCUUUAGCCAUUGUUUUUUUGGAUCAAAGAUAGAGUUUGUUUGAAGAAAACAAG
This 3224-nucleotide long non-coding RNA is filed under the name Medicago truncatula (barrel medic). RNAcentral's name for it is "lncRNA gene4311". Lineage: Eukaryota; Viridiplantae; Streptophyta; Magnoliopsida; Fabales; Fabaceae. The record is from RNAcentral.